This 1489-nucleotide long non-coding RNA is filed under the name Mytilus galloprovincialis (Mediterranean mussel). Lineage: Eukaryota; Metazoa; Mollusca; Bivalvia; Mytilida; Mytilidae. The record is from RNAcentral.
AAAAAAAUAUUUUGUCAAGUUUAGAAUUUGUUUUUAAUUAAUAACUGUCAACUUUUACCAAUUUGAUUAUGUAUUGAUUUCAUGAAAUAGAUAAAUGCAUUUGCAGUUUCAGAUUAUUAUUUUAAAUCAAGUUUUUAUUGCCGAAAAAUAUGUUUAUCCCACCCUUGUCAAUGUAGACUCGAACGGUAGAGGUAAUGGUCAAGUGAGCAGGUAAUAAUACUUUUUAACGUUGUCGAACUCCCGAGAAAGUGCGUUGUUUGUUUGCAAACGGGAGUACAAAGAUAUUGUUCGUCAUAUUGUUGAUGUAGAGAGGUAAAUAAGAAGAUGCAGUAUGAUUUUCAAUGAGACAACGCAAACAAAUGUGUAAACCGUGAACAUUAAAGUAGUUUAAUAUUGAGAAUGGUAAUGGGGAACGUGUCAAAGAGACGACAAUUCGACCAAAUAACAGAAACCAGCCGAAGGCCACCGAUGGGGCUUCAAAACGGCGAGCAAAUCCGCACCCAGAGGCGGAAAACAGUCAUUGAAGCAUUCCAAUAGGGUGCAGUAAAAUAUGUACCGCCUCGCUUCUAUUGCAGUUCAUGUCAUUUCAUUAUUUCGUUGAUUGAAACAUUGGUGUGUUUCCUUGAGAUUUGUGUACCAGUACAUUACAGUUGUAUUAAUUCAUAUAAAGAAUAAUCGACAAAAACGUAAAUUGUUUUAACGAGAUUAUCAAAGAUCUGCAAUAUAAAUUUUGGUCAUUCUGGUUAAAAACCUUAUUAUUACAGAAAAAAAAUAUAGGCAAGGCCAGUGUAUUCAGAAACUUAAUAUUAACGUACACAACACACUAAAAUCGCAUUAAUUCAAACAGGAGUUAGACAGGUACGCACGGUACGUCGAAAGGAUGCAAGUCUCCUUUUAUCCAAACAUCUAUCGCAAUACGAAUAGUUAUCAAAGGUAACAAAAUUUGAUACGCCAGACGCGCAUUUUAUCUACAUAAGACUCAUCAGUGACGCUCAGAACAAAACAGUUAGAGAGCCAAAGAAGUACAAAGUUGAGGAGUAUUAAGGACCCAAAAUUCCAAAAAGUUGUGUCAAAAACUGCGAAGGGUCACACCUAGGAAAAAGACACAAUUCGAAAAUUUACAUAUCGUAUUUGCUUAACUCUAAUUAACUUGACAAUCUAACUAUUCUUGUCAAUGUUAGAAUUGUUUGUAGAUUGAUGAAUAUCUAUAAAUAAAAUCUAUUUGGUAUCUGUUUUUUUCUUCGCCACAAUCUGAAACUCGUAUCAGAUAUCCCGAUGAUCCAAUAGGGUCGAUGUAUUGGUCAUUACAAGUCCUUAGAGGUCUUGAACAAUGAUCCCCUACUGUUAAACAAUUUGAACCCACGAGAAACGUUUCUCUUAUAUGUUGCAUUAACAUUCCGAUAACAUCAGUCAACUCUACAUACAUAAUUUGACUUCUAAACUGAAUUUGACAUUCCAUACAGGCUCACAUACAUACAUACGACGAAAC